AUGUACACCCAUCCAUUGAGAUUUAUAUAAAUAGAGCAACUGGGUAGUUGUUACACUGAGUUAUGGUCACUGUGAUGACUGUUUUUGGACCGUUGAAAAAGUGACGGUGUCACGGAACGUGACUAUUAUGGGGUGGAGUACCAUUGGUCAGUGAGUGACAUGUGAUGGGUGGUCCGGAGGUUGGGAUGUCACACGUGUCCGUUAUGGGAGAUGAUAUUAUAGGGUUGAGGUGUCGCUCACACUAUCAACCAUUGCCAAC
RNAcentral lists this long non-coding RNA (259 nucleotides) under Spirodela polyrhiza (greater duckweed). RNAcentral describes it as "long non-coding RNA (SPOL_LNC001426)". The record is from RNAcentral. Lineage: Eukaryota; Viridiplantae; Streptophyta; Magnoliopsida; Alismatales; Araceae.